UGGCUCAGCAACGAACGCUGGUGGCAGGCUUAACACAUGCAAGUNGAGCGGGCAUAGCAAUAUAGUACGGCGGCNGACGGGUGAGNAACGGCGUGGGAACGUACCUUUUGGUUCGGAACAACUGANGGAAACUUCAGCUAAUACCGGAUAAGCCCUUACGGGGAAAGAUUUAUCGCCGAAAGAUCGGCCCGCGUCUGAUUAGCUAGUUGGUGAGGUAAUGGCUCACCAAGGCGACGAUCAGUAGCUGGUCUGAGAGGAUGAUCAGCCACAUUGGGACUGAGACACGGUCCAAACUCCUACGGGAGGCAGCAGUGGGA
RNAcentral lists this ribosomal RNA (317 nucleotides) under Bradyrhizobium sp. DASA 35096. Its description in RNAcentral is "bacterial SSU rRNA". It matches the Rfam family "Bacterial small subunit ribosomal RNA", at positions 20 to 359 of the family's 1533-position model. The record is from RNAcentral. Lineage: Bacteria; Pseudomonadati; Pseudomonadota; Alphaproteobacteria; Hyphomicrobiales; Nitrobacteraceae.